RNAcentral lists this long non-coding RNA (25360 nucleotides) under Gossypium barbadense (sea-island cotton). RNAcentral's name for it is "long non-coding RNA (GBAR_LNC021336)". Lineage: Eukaryota; Viridiplantae; Streptophyta; Magnoliopsida; Malvales; Malvaceae. The record is from RNAcentral.
AUCAUUGUAAACAAGCUGAGCAAGAGUUGUUUUACCCAUCCCUCCCAUGCCGACGAUGGAAAGGACUGAAACUCCGUUGGAGUUAUCACCUUUGAGAAACUCAAUCAUUUCUGUCUUCUCCUUGUGUCUGCCAACAUACUCCACAACUCCAUCCAGUAAGGAAGUUGGUUGCAGCCUGGGUUGCUUUCCCUUGGAGGUUGCAGCUUGAGACAAAAUCUCAUUCAACCCCAAACUACUUCUUCGUGUAGUCAAACUAUUCAGUGUAUCAGUGAUGUCUUUCACCUUCGUGAUCAUGGAAUUCUUAAACUGAAAAGAAGUGGGAGGCAAAAUACUACGAAUAAUCCUUUCAGGAAUGAAUUUCCGUAUCUUACUAGGUCUGGCUUGAGCUUGAGUGUCUUGGAGAUUGAGGCGUAACUCUUCAUAAGCGAACUCGUCCAGGAUGUCAUCCACAUCGUAAGCCAAGUCCUGGAGAUCCUCCAACCAUUUCUUCACACCCAUGUUCUUGAUCUGCUUCUCCUCUGCAUCGUCCAACACUGCUUGGAUAUCAGGCAAUAUGGACUGCCACUGCUUGAGCUGCUCGUGGAGUUGGUAGUGAUCAGCAACAAAGUUGAGUGCAGAGUCAAGCGAUUUGCCCACCAACAGGUCCAGGAACCCAGAAAGAGCAGCCUCUCCAAUGACAGACAUGGUGGAAUUGUGAGAAAUAAGGUGACAAGAGAAAUGAGCAAAGACAAAAUGGAAAGUCAGGAACAAAAAAGAAAGAAAGGGAAAUGGAAUAUGCAAAAUUAGAGAAAGUUGAAGAAAUUAGCACAAUAUCCUUGAAGCAUGUAAUAUAAUAAUUCAGACUAUGAAGCAAUGAGUUGGAAGUCAUUGGGUACAGAUAAAGAAGCUGCUUUUCGUGUUAAUGGGAAAUGAUGGGACCUUUGCUUUUGAAUUUUGAUGCUCUUCUUUUCACUUGCUUUUGGUCUUUGCUUUUGCUUUUUGCUCUUCUUUUCACAACUUUGUCGCCAAAAUAUAGCAAACACCAAUACUCAAAAUUUUUGAAUCACAAAUAUUUACAGUAUUUAGCAUAUAAAAAAAUCAGAAAUUAAAUGAUAAUUUUUACUUUUUUAUAAUUUUAAUAGUAUAUAUCUUUAUAAAAUUUAAAAAAUUAAAUAAUAUUUUUAUCAUUUUUAAGGGAGUAAAGUAUAAUUUUAUAUUUAUUAAUUUAAAAUUUUAAAAUAUUUAAAUAGCCUAAAUGAAAGUUUUUCUAUUUUAGAGGACUUUGUCAACCCCUAAUUACGCCCGAGAUUGAUUGUAGUUAUAUUGUUAAUUGACUUACUAUUUUACUAUUUAUACUAUUAUUUAAGUUUAUGACUAGUUGAUGUUAAGAGUUUAUCGAGUAUCAACUUAGUUAAAGAAAAUAUGAAAAUGUCACUCUAGUCUUUUUAUGAUAAAAAAAUAAAAAUAUGUGCAUAUAAUGGGAUUUUGAACCCAUACUAAUUACAUUAAUAAAAUUAUUAAUUUACCACUCAACUAAAAUUUUAAUUUUUUUAUACAUUUUAAUUUUAUUGUACACACUUUAUUGUUAAUUAAUUUCAAACCUUAUGCUUUAAUUAUUUAUUGUAUGUUAUAUUCUAAAUAUAUGAUUUCCAAACAUACGUGUGUGAUAAGUAUACUAAUUAUAACCUAUAUUACUAAUUGUUGUACUAAUUUAUGAUUUGCUUUCUUACUAGAUCCGUUAGCCAAAUUCAAAUUACCUUCCUUUUAGAUCAAUUAAUUGACUUAAACCUAACUCAAUUAUAUUUCUUUCUAGAGUUAUUAACCAAAAUAAUCGACCGAACCGAUUAAACGAGAUUGUUUCUAUUAUUAUAUUUAUGAAAUCAUGAUCGUUUAGUUAUUGGUAUAUUUUUGUUGGGGUUAGGUUAAUUUAAUUUUCAAUUUUCUAAACUAAAAUUUACAUCUAGAUUUGAUGAUGAUUGCUUGUCCACAGUUCAUGGGUUUCAAUUAUACCAACCUAUUCUAUCUUCUUUUUUCCCUAAUGCAUGUGAGAUCUCUUUUUCUUUUCCUUAGCAAAGUAUUUAGGGUCUCUCUUUUUUGGUCAAAGUAAUCUUUAUCUUUAAUAAAAUAAUUUAAAAACCCUAAUCACUUCUCCAUAAUUGAUGGAACUUACAAGUAUAAUUAACAAAAAUAAAAAUACAAUUAUAAAUAAUUUAUGUCUCACCAAUUAUAACUAGAAUCAACUUAAUAUAGAAUACAAUAAGACUAAAAUCUAAUUAAAUACAAACAAAUAACAUUAAGAGUGAAAUAUAGGAAAGAACCCACACAUAAUAUUUACGUAUUAUGAAACUCAAACUUGGGCUCUCGAGGCCCAACAAAUCUCAUUGGCUCAUAAGCAAAUAUUUUAAUGUAUCACAAAUUCAUUACUGAAUCAGUACUCUAGAAAUUAGUUAUUCUUAAGUUGAAAGAUUUGUAUGUAUAACAAAUUUAUAUAGUUUUAGAGAAGAAGAUGGAAGAUGGCCAAAUAGAAAGGGCCAUUGCAAGGAUGAUAGUGAAGUUCCAGUUCCUACUGAGUUUCUGGUAUUAAAGAUGAUAGACAAUGUGGAAGGGAAACUAUUGAACUGGUCAUAUUGAAGAAAUAGUAGGGUGAUUAUAACCAAAGUGUAUUAAGGGUGGGACCUUGGCUUUUGAAUUUGAUGAAAUCUCUCUGCCAUUUCUGAAAUUCCAAUUUUCCUUUAAGGAAAACGAUGACGACGAUGCCAAUCUAAUUCCCAUUCAAUUAAACCCUGAUCUCGAUCACAAUGCCAUCUAAUGCCUAUAUAUCAAGUUAUUAUUUCCAUUCACUUUAAAGCCUAUUGUAGUUUUGGUUCAAUUUAAUAUUGCCAUUAAACAUCAUGAUUAAUUGACACAAUAUAGCAACCACACACGUCCUACUUUCUUUUGGGGUUGAAAACAUCACUGUAAAUGCAAAAGGAGAGAAGGUGAAGCCUUUCAAAUUCUCCACAUGCCAAAUGGUGCUGACAUGUCAGAUGGGCUGAUGUGGCAUACUAUGUUAGAAAAAUUAUAAAAAUAUUUUAAAAUUAAUAAAACAUAUAUAUACAUUUAGAAUGAAUCUGGACAUAUGGUUAUCCAAAUUCAAAUGAAUUUGGACAAAACAAAUAUAGCCUUUAUACCAAAGCAAUUAGUUUUAUAUUAGAGGUAUUAGAGUUUAGGUUCUAUUUUGUUAAUCUACUUAUACAUGUUAUCUAAUAUGUUAAUUUUGUCUCAAAUUUGAAAAUAAUUGGUGCUCAAAAUGAUUCAAAUCCAAGAUGACAUAAAUUUGAGAUGACCCUAUUUGAAAAACUUAUAUGGUCGUAAUCCAAAAUGGCUCAAACAUGAAACAACUUAAACCCAAAAUUGACCCGAACCAUAAUGACUCUCUAUUUAUAGCAGUAACAGAAAGGAAAAAUAGUAAAUAUGAAAGGGAAAAAGAGUAAAAAUCGUAGGGUUACCAUUUCCGUGCAACAGUAAAAAAUAUAUUUUGUUGCCAAAAUUUUCGCAACUGUCAAAAAUCGAAAAAUGUUUUAAAGAAAUUAUUUUUUGAAAAAUAAUAUUGAUUAAAAUUAGAGAUAAAUUAUGGACGAAAAUAUUGAAUUAUUUCAAAUGAUGAAGAGCAACUUUAAUAAUGUAGAGGGACUGGGUCGGUGUACCGAGGAUGAUACUUCGAAGGCUACUCUCAGAAGAGUCGAUCUGUAGCUCAAGUGGUACCAUAUACCUCAACAAUUGACCUAUAUUCAAUAGGUUAAGGGUUCGAAUCUCAUCAAGGGUGAGACUCUCAUGUCGCCUCUUAGUGGUGAUUGCAAGUCCACAUACGGUCAAGGCACCCCUUUUUGUGAGUAGUACAUGGCUCUCCACGGAGUGGGGGACAAAACCCUCUCACAGGGGAUAAUACCUUCUGUUAUUGAGACACUGGAUCGGCAUCCUCAAAGACGGCACUUCAAAAACUUCUCUCGAAUAAGCCGUCCCCAUUAACAAAUAAAUAAUUACUCUACACAACCCUAUUCUAUCUUUUAAAAUUAUUAUUUUGUCCCUUAAGAUAUCCAUUAAUCUUUUUAUGUAUUUCUAAUAUACAUGCUAUAUAUAUAGUAAAAUGAUAUAUAUAUAAUCUACACUAAAUAUGAGAAGAUUAUAAAUAUAAUAAUCUAUAAUUACUAAUGAAAAUUUUGGUUUGUACCGUUCACAUUGGCCGGAACAUGGUACACCUACUACUGCUGCAUGAAUAAUGUUAAAAAAUAUAAAUAGUUUAACUAUUUUCUAUUAGACUAAAUAUUUAAUUGAAAUGUAUUGACCAAUAAAAAAAAUAUUACACUAGAAAGUAAAAUUUAACAUUUUAAAUUUUUUUUGGAGCAUACUUUUUCAUUUAAAAUAUAAAAAUUAAAAUAUAAUAGAAAAAAAACCGACUCACCUCAUUAUCAUACAGCUUUUCUUAUUGAAAAAACCCCCACAUCCUUCAAUUUCUUUUUUUCUUCUUAAUUUUGAAUUUAUUGAAUGAUGAGUUUUUACUUGUCGAGUUUAUUAAUCAAUAUUUUAUGUAAUUGAUUAAUAGUUUUAUAUUAGAAAUUUAUUUAUAAUAAUUUAUUUGAUAUUUGUAUAUUUAUUUAUAUAAAUAUAUUAAACAUUUUAGAAAAUAUCAAUAAAUUCAAAAUGGUAUAUAAAAUAGACCAGUACCAAUACAUACCAGUUCUCAUAGAAAAGUGGUGCUUCCACCAAUGUGGUAAUGGCUACCUUGAAAGCAACUAUGUGGCAUAGUUAUUUGCAAAGAAAUGGGUUAAAGCAUGUUAAGUUAGUAUUGUGCUGAUCUUUGAGUGUAACCAUUGGGAUAUAUAUGGCUAUCUGAAUUUUUAUGAUUUGCUAUGCAUUGAUUGUGGUUGUUUUAGAUUGAGAAAAAAAAUAAAAAAUUCGAAACACAAAAAAGAAAGUAGAGAAAGUAAACCCAAUGAUAUACGUGGUUCGGGAAUAUUCCAUACAUCCACGGGCAGAACUAAAAACGAAAUUGACUACUAAAAAUUAGAGAUUACAAUGGAAUUACAUCAUAAAAUAAAAUACCUCGCCAAUAACUAUCCACAAACUUUGAAUGGAUUCAUGGUCUGAGAAAUUCGGAAAACUAAGAUGGACAUCUUUGAGAUUGGACAGAACAAUACUUUGGGAACUCUGUCGUCAUACAUGUGUUAAUUUGAGCUCUCUAAUGCCAUGUUGUAACGUGUACUGUAUCCCUCCAUUAAUCCUGGAAGGAUCAAACUAUCACGUAAAAGACUUGUUCUUUUGAAAAACCAUUGGUUAAUAGUACUACGAAAUGUCAAAUAUUUUUAACUAAAAUCCCAUUCUCAUAUACCAAAAUAGGUUAGAAAUUAGAAGAUGCAAAUGAAAACAGAACAUUCAAUUUGCUGAAUAAAUGUUGCAGAGAAUUGACUAACCGCUUUACUAAAUCAAAUAAGCUGAAGCAGAUGAGUUGAAGUUCACUAUUUUCUGCCAAUUUAGCCUUCAAUGCCUGCAAAAAUUGAAUACAAAAUAUCUAAGACUCAUUUAUGUUACCAUGUUGUUCAUGAGGACAAUCAGAUAUAUAUAAAAAAAAGUUAUGAAAUUUAUAAAUGUUUAAAAUGCGGUUUCACACCUGUGGUUUGAGUGUAGAGAAAUCGAUACCAGAUUUUGCUGCUUAAAUUUCAAUACCUCGGGAUGACUAAUUCAAAAUCAAUUUGAACAAAAGGUAUGUGGGAAAUCUUGGACCACUCUUGUCCUUUACCCCUACUGCACCCUUCUAGCAACGGGCAACGCUGAAUAUCAAGACGCUCAAGCGAGAGAAGCUCAUUAAAUUUAUAUAUUUUUUAAAUCACUUCAAAAUAUAUAGAAAACUUAAAGUACAUACAAUAUCAGUUAAAAACAUUAAUUUUUAUUUAUUUUGAGGUGAUAUAAUAAAAAAAAUACAAAUUUAAAAGCUAAUUAUUUUUCAUAAAGUUAGAUAGCUAAAUCUUUAUGUAUUUCUUUUACGAGACCAAAGUGGAUUAAAGUGUCUGUAACUCUAAAAUGAAUGUACCUUCUUAUGGCUUCAUGCACUAUUAGUCAGAAUGCAUCAAACACAAAUCUUAAGAUUAAAUUAAAUUCUGUAAAAUACUAAUACAAAUAAAAAUAUUGAAAUUCAGAAUAAAAAUACUGAUGUGACAUUAAAUUAUUGAAAAUAGAUACAAAUGUCAUUGUAUCUUUUUACAUCAUGUUUUUAUAAUAUAUGAUGUGAUCAUAAAUUAAACUCUUAAUUAUAGUGAUUAAUGUUCCAUUUUUGCAACUAAAAUCAAUAAAAAAUGAAAUUUAAUAAAUUGUAUUUUUUAUUGGAAAACAUCUUUAUAUUAAUUAAUUAUGAGAACACCUUUUUUAUGGAGAAGUGUUUGAUAAUAGGCCCAAUUGAUAUAUUUAUUGGGCUUAAUUUUGAUAAGUUCUUUAAUAAGAUGUGAUUAAUUUUAGAUUUAUUAUUUGAUUUCUGAUUUGGUGUAAAAAUAAACUCAAAAAGUGGAAAAGAAUCGGAAAUACAAGUUAUCGUAAAAGUUUUGGAUUGAAGAACUAGUUGGACCAUGAUCUAUUAUACUUUUUUAUAAAUAUUAUUUUGAGUUUUAAUAAUAUUUUUUAUGUAUAUUAUACUUUUUGGUUUUGGGCAGAAUUGGAUUGCAAAUGGAAUUUCUUUUCUUCUAUAUUUCUAAUUAUGUUCUUUCUUUUUCUCUUGUAUAAUAUUUCGCCGCCACGCCACCUUCCCAUUUUCCCCUUCUUUUAUUUAAUUCUUGUUGAAUUAUUAGGGGUGUGUAAAUUUCGGGUAAAACCGAAUUAAUUCGGUUAACGGAUUGAAUUCGGUUAAUCAAACGGUUAAUCGAAUUAAUUCAGUCAGAAGUCAAUUAAUAAUUUUUUGAAAGUUUAGUUAAUGAUUAAUUAGAUAAUUAUUGAAGUGAACAAAGACAAAAUGGAAACCCAGGGACCAAAAUAGAAAGAAAGAGAGAUGGACUCUGUAUAAUUAGUGAAAGUUGAAGAAGUUGGCACAAAGGUUUUUUUUAGCAUCCAAUAAUUCAGGCUAUCACUUGGAAGACAUUGGAUUAUAGUUUUUUAUUUUUAAAAUUUAAAAAAUUAAUUAAGUGAACGUUAAUAAAGUAAAAAAAAAAGUUACAAAUUUAAGGGCUAAAAAAUAAAAAUUUAAAUAGAGAACUAAAAUGAUUUUUUUAAAGUUAAAAAGUCAAAUAAACUAUUAUGUCUUUCUUUUAUUGAACCAAAAUGAAUUAAAGUGUCUGCAAUUCUGAAAUGGAUGGACUUAGUAUUUAGAUGCAUUAUUAUUUUUACUGGAGAUCGGGAAUAUAUGGACUUUCUAUGGGCCCAUUUAACUGAUAGAUUUUAUUACCACUUUAGCAACUUUGGCGAUUUAAUCAGUUACUCGAGAUUCGCAAUUAUUUUAUUUCUUGAUGCUAGCAAUAUACAGUGAUCAAAUAGGAUCAUUUCUUCUGAAGACCUUUUAUUUUUUUCAUCAUGUGGGAGUUUGAAUUAAUUCUCAUUUAUCUACUUCUAUCCAUGAUGGGGAAGAACCAAAUAUUGCAAAUUCAAGCAAUUCCGAAUCCACAGCUCUUUUAAAGCAGGAGGAAAGUUACUCUCUGCAAAACAAACCAAGCGUGAACAGCUUUCAAGUUGCAUGCUUGUAAUGAAUGGGAAAGCAUGUAAGGCUUCUGGUAGUCUAUUGAGCCUUUCACAAUCAUUUAUGUUCAGAUAUUCAACACCUGGAAUCUUUUCAAGUUGCAAUCUCUCCUCCUCUGUUUCCAAAGAGACCAAUUUGGGACAACCCGAAAUCCUAAUAAAACGAUGCCCGACUAAUCUUAACCCAAUUUGCGAUAAAGAUCCCAACUCCUUCCAACCAAAGAUGUAGAAUGUUUCGGGGUUUGCAAAUCUCAACAUUAUCCUCUCUGCUGAAAUAUUAAAAUUUGAAAUAUUUGAAAGAGACACAUCUUUCAAGGAGGUAACCUUCUGUACAGAUAAAGAACCUUCAUCCACCAAUUCUUCACAUCCAUUAAUUCUUAAUUCACAUAAUGAUGAAAAACUUGAAAUUGAAACUGCCAGCCUCUUACACUCACAGAUUUCAAGUGUCUGCAAGGAUUGAAGGAUGGUUGGCAACCUUCCCAACAAUACAGAACAACUUUUAAUUGAAAGCUUACGAAGGCUGGGAAAUUUCGAAACUUGCUCAUCGUCUUCACAUAGGUUCCACUCCUCCCAAUUCAGCAUAUUGUCAAAACACAGAGACUCUAAUGAUGCAAAAGCAUUUGAUUGAUUUUCUCCAAACAACUCAGCACCAAUCUUGUGUACUUGAUCCAAUCCACUAAUUGAAAGAUCUUUUAACAACAACAACCUUCCAAUCGAUGGUAGAGAUUUGCCAUUUUUACAGUCGUGAAGCUCCAAUGACAACAUAUUUUUGAAGGAAGGAUCUGCAAUCCAAGUAGAGAAUUUUGCACCACCAUAAUUAUGAAUGGCGAGAUGCUCAAGCUUUUUUGGAGGACGAAGAGAGUCCAACACCCAUUCUUCAACUUCCUUAUUCCUUGAAGCCUUUUCAAACUUUUCACUCCAAUGCAAUACCAAUCGAUGAAUCCCCUGCUUCUCAUUUAACUUGGCUUCCCCUGCAUCUUCACCAUUAACAUUCUCCAACCCAGAAAGACGGAAAUCACCUUUGAGGUUUGACAAAUAUUUCAAACCUCUAAUAUAACAACCAUCACCUUCCCCUAUUAUAAGAUCAGUUAACCUUUGAAGUUUCGUUAGCUUAUCAAUUCUAAAAGGCAUCCUUUCUAUUAAGCGGGCACCUCUGAUAUCAAGAUAAUGCAAGUUGACAAGAUUUUCCAUCUUUGAAGGUAACCUUUGAAGCUUCCAACACCGUCUCAAUAAUAAAGUUUCCAAAUGGUAAAGAGUGCACAAAGAAUCAGGUAAGCAUUUGAUAGGGGUGUUGGAAAAAUUCAAGUAGCGAAGAUGUUUUAAAUUUUCAAAAACAUCAGGCAACUCAGUGAUUUUAUACCCACUCAAAGAAAGCAUCCUUAAGUAGCCAAGUCUUGGUAACAAAUCAACCAAAACAACAUUAGUUAAAAAAGGCCCCCGAUAAUAAUCACUAGAAAACAUUAAGGGUAAAAAAGAACGUAAAGAAUUCACUUGAUCAAAUGCUUCAAACUUCUUCACUGUGUCAUAUCUUCCAGCAAUAUAAGAAGAAUGUCGAGUGCGAUUUGAGAACUUCCAUUUCUUAUCACCCUCUAAUUUUGAGCAUACUUCCCCUGCAACUACUUGAGCUAAAUCAUUGAUAAGGUCAUGCAUUACGAAGCGGGACUUAUCUUCACUGGAUGUCUGAAAAAAUGACCUGGACACUAGAUCUUGAAAAUAUUGAUUUCCGAGAUCUUUAAUUUGAGGCAUAGCUUUUUGUUGCAAGAGACCUUCUGCUUUCCAUAACAAGAUAAUUUCUUCUUCCUCAAAUUCAUAAUCUUUAGGAAGUAUGGAGCAAUAUGCAAAACAUCGUUUCAAGUAUGACGGAAGAUGAUGGUAGCUUAAUCGCAAAGCUGGAAUUAUGCCACACUGCUCUUCUGGUAAGUUCCAUAUCUCACUCUCAUAUAUUCUUUCCCAUUUUCCAUGAUAUUCAACCGUGCGAAGCAAGCUUCCAAUGGCUUUUGCAGCCAAAGGUAAGCCAUUGCACCUUCUAACAAUUUUCUCUCCAAUUUCUUUAAACUGGAGAUGUCCAUCGAAAUUUCUUGCUUUUAAUGCAUGCUGUGUAAAUAUGGAUAAACAAUCAUCAUCCGGUAGUUUAUCCAAAUGAAAAGCUUUGAGCGGAUCCACAAUAGAUGAAACAAUUUGAAGACGAGUGGUUACAAUGAUAUGGGUCCCUGCUCCAAACGGAGACCGUAAGAUGGUCCAGUCAUUAUAAUUCUCGUUCCAAAUGUCAUCUAAAACAAGCAAGAAUCUUUUCCCAGACAACUUCUCCUUUAACUUAACUUGAAGUAAAUCCAAGUUACUGUAAUCACAUGACUCAGAAGUGAUGGACUGUAAAAUUGCCUUUGUUAUAGCAAUUGCAUCAAAAUUAUCAGAAACGCAUACCCAGGCCUUGAGAUCAAAAGACUCGUUGAUGGUGGCGUCAUUGUAAACAAGCUGAGCAAGAGUUGUUUUACCCAUCCCUCCCAUGCCGACAAUGGAAAGGACUGAAACUCCGUUGGAGUUAUCACCUUUGAGAAACUCAAUCAUUUCUGUCUUCUCCUUUUGUGCCAACAUACUCCACAACACCAUCCAGUACGGAAGUUGGUUGCAGCCUAGGUUGCGUUCCCUUGGAGGUUGGAGCUUGAGACAAGAUCUCACUCAACCCCAGACUACUUCUUCUAGUAGUCAAACUAUUCAGUCGAGCAGUGAUGUCUUUCACCUUGGGAAUCAUGGAAUUCUUAAACAGGAAAGAAGUGGGAGUGAAAUUACUGCUGGUACAGCAGGUAGGAAUGAGUUUCCGUACCUUGCUAGUGCUGACUUGAGCUUGCGAUUUGUUGAGCUUGAGACUUAACUCUUCAUAAGCGAACUCAUCCAGGAUGUCAUCCACAUCGUAAGCCAAGUCCUGGAGAUCCUCCAACCUUUUCUUCACGCCCUCGUUCUUGAUCUGCUUCUCCUCUGCAUCGUCCAACACUGCUUGGAUAUCGGGCAAUAUGGACUGCCACUGCUUGAGCUGUGGGCGGAGUUGCUUAUGAUCAGCAACAAAGUUGAGCGCAGAGUCGAGCAACUUGCCCCCCAACAGCUCCAGAAACACAGACAGAGUAGCCUCUCCAAUGACAGACAUGGUGAAAUUAUGCGAAGGAAGCAGAAGAGAGAAUUGAAGAAGCCAAAUGGAAUUUCAGGAACGGAAUGGAGAUUGUGUAUAAUCAGUGAAAGUUGAAAAAAUCAGAGGAGGAGGCAGUGAGCUGAUAGUCUGAUAAAUAAAAUAGAGCCCAACUGGUUUUUGGGCAGUGAAACUAACAAAGAAGGCGGAAAAAUACAUUGGCUGAGCCGGCCACCCACGUUGUUUAUGAAUUUUGAUGCUUUUCUCCAUUAUCCCAAUUUCCAAGUAAAUGAACGUUCAGUUCCAUGGCAAUGGCAUCUAAUGUCCAUAUUUAUACUUUAAUUAACUGCCACAUUUCAGUCUUUGUUUUUGGGAAUGAAGACAAAUUCAUCCCUUUUUUUUUUUUUAAUUUCCAAAAUUUCAUCCCAUUUUAAUUCUUUUUAAAAUGUAUAUUAUUUUUAAUUUAAUAUUUUCUUUUAAUUUUUUGUAAAUUUUUUUUAUUAAAAUUUAAAUGUAUCUUUUAAUGUUUAUAUUAUAAUACUAUAUAUUUAAUUUAAUUUUAUAUAAAUUACAUUCUAUAUAUAUGAUAAAGUAGAAAAUGGGUUGGGCUUGGACAUUUUAAUUUUGAAGCCCAGCUGAUUUUAAAUAAGUUUUUUUUUUUUACUUAAACUUAUUUUUCAAGCUUUAUUCUUUUUAUUUAAACCUUUUUAUAUUUUAAGCGCAUCUAGAACAAAAGAAAAGCUUGUGGAAAGCACAUGAUUAGCAAUUAGAAUUUGUCACAUGUAAAAGUAUAAUAUAUUAUAUAUAAAUUUAAAUUUUAAAAAUAAUAUUUCAAAUAUAAAUUUUAUAUUUUUGAGAAAUAAUAAUAUUUUUAAAAAGAUGGGUAGAUUUUUUUAAUAAUUAAAAAUUAGUGAAUAAUAAUGAGUAGUUUAGUUUUUGAGAAAAAAAAUAAAGAAAUAGUUUUAAUUGAGAAAAUAAUUUUUUAAGAAGUUAGUUUAAGAGUAGUGAAAUAAUUUAAUUUAUUUUAUAAAAUGUUGAAAUGAUAUAAUAAUAUUAGAUUUUUCAUGCUUUUACUAAUUGAGUUUGUGUCACUCGAUUUGAUGUAUCAAAUUUAAUUAGACAUUUUAUCAUAGUAUAAAUAAUUAUCUUGUAAUUAUAUGUAUUCAAACUAACUUAAUUUUUAAAUCCGUCACCAAUCUUUAUAUUUUUUCUCUCUUAUAAUUAUAUUUUUACAUAAUGUUUUUAUAAUAUAUGAUAUGAUCAUAAAUUAAACUUGCAUUUUAAUAUAUGAUAUAAUUAAGUGGUUGAUGUAAAUAGUACUUAAACAAAUAACUACAUGGAUGGUGAGGAUGAGUAAAAACUUUUAAUAUCUUUUGUAUGUGGUGUAUUACUCUGUAGUAUACACUUAAUGGGUUGGCCUAUAUGAGUGUGUUGUGAGGCCGCUUCUAUGAGAUCUUUGGCAAUCUUUAGAGCACUCAUAAAAACUAGGCACGCGCAUGACCUAUUAGCACACAAUCGCAUUGAAGAAUGAAUCAUAAAUAUAAUGUGAUAAGUGAGAAAAUUAAUUUGGAAAUUAAAUAAUUAGUUCAAAAACUUAUUUCAUCAAUUAUUUAAGUAAAUCAUGUCUCAUUUGUUAAAAAAUUAUGUAUUCUCUUUAGAAAAACCUUCCUCCUACAAUCUCAAUUGAGUGUUUAAUUGGUCCGCUCUUUAGAAAAGCCUUCAAGGAUAAUGAUAUUCACGCCUCAAGUCGUGAUUCUAAUUUUCUAAACCUCCGAUUUCUUAAGAGAACGUCAAGGGCAACAACCAGUCAAAUUUUAAGUUCAAUUAAAUGAAUUCACAAACUUAUAGAGUUUAUUAUUAUUAUUUUCAAUGCAAGCUUGAAUUAUAAUCGAGCUUGAAUUAUAAGUCAAAUUUUAAUUUUGUUAUUCAAGCUUUAUCUCAAAUCAAGCUCAAGCUUUAAAAGGGAAAUUUAAUUGAGUUUGAGCUAAAUUUUAAGUAUCGAAUUUUAAGUUAGCUCAAAAUUUUCAAGUUAAGCUUUGACUUGAUUACACGGUAAGUGUAAAUCGUACAAAUAUAAAGUAUAAUAUAAUUAUAUAUGUACAAGCCCAAUUUUUGACCUGGGGCCCAACAAGCCCAAAUACAACCAAACCAAAAUUAAUUAACAAUCCAAUUACAUUCAACAACAUGCCCAAAUUCCAUUUUAACCCAAUUACAAGCCCAAACACUACAACCCAAUACCUCAGCCCAAAACCCAAAACCUAAACACCUAACAGAAACCCUAGCCCCCAAACCACUUGCUGCUGCUGCCGCCACUCCUCUACCACCUGCUCUCUGCCACCCCACAACCACCAUCACCACCUGCAAGGAAAAGAAAGAAAAGACAGAAACCAAACGAGCAGUUGAAACAGUAGAAGAAAGUAAAAAUGUAAACCGGCUAUAAAGGCCAUGAAACUAAAUGUAAUGAGGGAUUUUUUUUGAAGAUUUUUUCUUCUUCUCUUUCGGCAAAGGCCAAACAAUGUAAAAGGGGAAUUCUCUUUUUCUUUCUUUUGUAACAUUUCACAAAACAAGCAAUAUAAAAAUCAAAGGUGAUUGUCGUUUUGCAUUUUUUCUUUUCUUUUCUAUCUCCUUUUUAUUGUUGUUUACUUUUAUUUUUAUUUUUUUAAAAAACACAGUUUACAUUUGCAAAAAAAAAAAUAAAAAGAAAAAAUAUAAAGAGAAAAAAAAUACCUUUUAUGAUUCGGUGGCCGGCGCAGUGGCGCUACGGUGGUGGCCCAUGGCCGGACCUUAGGCCGGAGUUUGGACUGAAAGAGGGGAGGGGGAGAGAACUUUAAGUUUGUUUUUCUGAAAUAACAAGGCAAAUGAAAUUUUUUUAUUGAAAAUUGGCUUAAAUAGGCUACCAAAAUGACGUCGUUUUGGGUAGCCUUCUCAGGCACCAAAACGGCGCCGUUUUUCCUUGGAUCAGACCGACCCGACCCGAACCGCCUAGGAUCCGCGUGGUUCUGGAUAAAAGGGGUUAUUUGCGCCCCUGGUCCUUACACUUUUGAGGCUGUUUACAAUUGGAUCCUAUUUUGUUUUUAAUUUUUCAAUUUUGCCACAAAAUUCCAUUUUUUCUCGAUUUCGUCCUCAAUGAAGCUGUGCGUUUUAGAGGAGAAGGGAAAUUUUCCCUUCCAUCCCCUCUAUGUUAUUCGCGCAUUUAAAUCAAUCCCUUCUUUUUUAUUUAUUUCGAAUCUGCCCCAAAUUUCUGCCUUUUAAUUCGAUUUAGCCCUUUAAGCUUGCUAUUUUAUUUUUAAUUAAUUAAUAAUAAUAUUAUUAUAUUAUUAUUGAUAUUACAAUCAAAUAUUUGUACAUUAUAUAUUUAUAUUCUAUAUGUUGUAUCCUAUAUACGUAUUAAUGUAUGUUGUUAUUACAUACAUAUUUUAAAACAUAUACAUAUAUAUAUACAUAUCUAUAUUUUAUGAUCUAUGUAUAUAUGCAUGCAUUUUAUUAUCUGAAUAUACAUACAUAUUUUAGGAUAUAUAUAAGCAUACAUUUAUCCCUUUAUUAUUAUUUAUGUACAUAUUUAUGUAUUUGUAUACUUCCCUAAUAUAUAUUAUAUUUUAUACUUUAUAUUAUGUAUGUCCUAUAUAUACGUUUUAAUUUUCAUAUAUACAUACUUACAUAAUUUUUCAUCUAUAAUAAUUUGCAUAUAUUUUCCAUAUUUUCAUAAUUUUAUACAUAUAUGUACGUAUUUAUAUAUCUUUUGUAUUUUUAUGAUUGUGUUAAUUUUGUUCAUUUUUUCAUAUGUCUAUUAUUGUUUAUUUUCUUACUUUAGUUUCAUAUUAUUUGUUAUUUUGCUCGUAUGAUUAUUUUUUAUUGUUUAUUGUUUAUUUGUUUCAUUUUAUUUACAUUGCAUCAUUAUUGUUAUUUUACACCUACUUUUACUCGGAUUUAUCAAAAACGGAAAAUUUUAAAAAUGUAAGUAAUACUCGGUAUUUGGGAUCUUCGAGAGAAUUGAGCCCUAACGUAUUGGGUUCCGAUUUUCUUCGUUGAACCUAAAUAAUCGAGAUUACUCUUUUAAAAAAAAUGAUAAAAAGCUCGUUAUCAAGAAUUCAAUACGUUGUAACCUAACGCAUUGGAUGUGACACGUUGUUUUCUCGAGACGAGAAUUUUUCGAAAUAAAUGCAAUAUUUAAUGUUUAAUAUUUUGAGAAAUUGUGCCCUAACGUAUUGGGUUGCGAUUUCUUCAUUUGAUUUAAACAAUUGAAUAUUCUUUUAAACUUUAUUAUACAAUUUUUUUUAAAAUUCAAGUUUUAAACAAUAUCGGGAAUUAAAAAAAGGAUUGUGUCCUAACUUACUGGUCGUGAUCCCUUUUUAAAUCCAAGAUAAUUAAAUAUCUUUUAAAUAAGCAUUUUUUAUUCGCGUAUCGAGAAUUCGAGACAUUGUGUCCCAACUUACUGGAUAUGAUUUUUUUCUCGAAUAACGUGAAAUAUCCCCUUUUUCUUGAAAAUUUUCAACGUUUUAAUAAAAUGAUCGUAUUUUUAAAAUUCUCCAAAGUUCUCAAUUUUCGACAUUAAGACAUUAAGUAAUCAACUAGGUACCAAUUUUGGGCGUAUCGAGGGUGCUAAUCCUUCCUCGUGCGUAACCGACUCCCGAACCCGUUUUUUCUGAAUUUCGUGGACCAAACUUGUUGUUUUAAUAAAAUCAAACCGUUUAUUAAAAAUAACCACUUUUCGAGGUGAUCCAAUCACACCUCAUAAAAAAGAAUUGGUAGCGACUCCCGUUUUAUUUUUUAAAACCCAAGUCAACCCCGUUUUCCAUCUAAAAAAUGGUGUCAACAAUAUAAAUUUUGAUACUAUAAUAAUUUCAAUUUUAAAAUUUUAACACAACUAUGGUCUAGAAUGUCCCAUUAUCAAGAAGCUUAGAAAUUAGAAGAUGCAGAUGAAAACAAAUCAUUCAAUUUGCUGAAUAAAUGUUGCAGAGAAUUAAGUUAUAGCAAAUCAGUUGAAUAUAGCUUUCAGUGCCUGCAAAAUUAAAUACAAAAUAUAUACGAUUGAUUGCUAUUAUCAUCUUGUUCCUGAGGACAGUCAGAUACAUGGAACGAAAACAGCCAAUGUUUAAAACGGUUUCAUACCAGUGAUACAACAUAAGGUAUGUGGGAAAUCUUGGACCACUCUCGUCCUUUACCCCUAAAAGUGGACAUAAUUAAGAAGGAAAACUUGUCUGUGAUAGAAAAUGAGGGGCUUUAGUUAAAUUACAACUAACCAGGAUGAACUCUGUUUCUGGAUUGAAAUAUUGGAAUUGGUAAUCAGUGACUUAUUCACUAAGAACUAACUAUUCUGUCACCUUAUAUUCUUCCUAUAAUUUCAGGUUUAAUCCUGUUGAUUUAUACAUUCAGUCCACUGCAAUAUGAACCCAUGAAAACCACACUAAAUGAAACUGACUGUUUAAGGAUCCCAUUCAUAUGAUGCAGCACUGUAAUGGGUAAUUAAACUGACUGUUUAAUCCUGUUUCUGUACACUAUGCUUCUUCAAAAUCAUGCCUAGCCGAACUCUCUGACAUUGUGGACCGCAAGCGCACUCAAGGACAUAUUGUUCUUCCCAUCUUUUACCAUGUUGAUCCCUCUGAGGUUCAGCAUCUUAGUGGGGGUAUCAAGACAUUCUUUGAUAACCAUGAAUCAAAGAGGCCUGUUGAUUAAGUCUGUAAAUUAAUUGGGUGUUCUUGAGAAUGAUCUUCUUCCAUUCCUUUGUUGUAUCUCGAAAGAGUGUGUUCCACGCUACAUUCAUAAAAUGUCAUGUUUAAAAAAAUAACAAUAAAUUAAAAAUAAAAUUCACAAUAAAUUAAAAAUAAAAUUCUAACUCAUUAUUAGGGUUUAGGUUUUUUUUUUACCUAUAUUGUUUGGACUUGAGCCGAUCAAAUUAUGACAAGUUAUUCUUAGCUUAUCGUAACUAUUUAUGUAUCAUUUUUGUUUUAAUAUGAGUGUUGACACCAUUUUUUUGACGAAAACGGGUCGACUUGGGUUUUGAAAAAAAGAAACAGGAGUCGCCACCAAUCCUUUUUAAUGAGGUGUGAUUGGAUCACCUCGAAAAGUGGUUGUUUUUAAUAAACGGUUUUAAUUUUAUUAAAACAACGAUUUUGGUCCACGAAAUCUAGAAAAACGGGUUCGGGAGUCGAUUACGUACGAGGAAGGAUUAGCACCCUCGUAACGCCCAGAAAUUGGUACCUAGUUGAUUAGUCAAAGUCUUAAUAUCGAAAAUUAGAAAAUUUAAAAAUUUAAAAUACGAUCCUUUGUCUUAAAAUGACUUGUAUAAAAUAGGUUGCUUAUAUUAAAAAAAAAACUCCUACAACAAAAUUAAAAAAGGGUAUUCAAUUGUUCGAGUCAGAUGAGGAAAUCGCAACCCAAUACGUUAGGGAACAAUUUUUUAACAUUUCGAACAUUGAACAUUGCCUUAGUUGUUUUUAAGAAAAUCCUUAUCUCGAAAAAGCAACGUGUUACAUCCAAUGCGUUAGGACACGACAUAUUGAAUUCCCGAUAAUGAGCUUUUUAUUUGUAUUUUUUUUAUAAAAGAGAAAUCUCGAUUAUUUUGAUUCAACAAAGAAAAUCGAAACCCAAUACGUUAGGGCUCGAUUCUCUCGAAGAUCUCAAAUACCGAGUAUUGCUUUUAUUUUGAAAUUUUCAUUUUUUGACAAAUCUGAGUAAAAAGAUGCAACAUAACAACAAUGAUGAUAAUGUGAGUAAAAUGAUACAAGCAAGAGCUACAAAAUAAAAUAAAUACAAGGACAAACUAAUAUAGUACACAAUUGCAAGCAUAUAAGCAAUAAAAUUAAAAACAUUCUUUCAAAACAAAUAAUGAAAAUGUACAUAAAGAAAUAAACAAAGUAAAUGUAUAAAGCUAUAAAAAUAUAAAAGAUACAUAUAUGUGUAUAUACAUAAAAUUAUGAAAAUAUGAAAAAUAUAUGUAUGUACAUAUGAAUUAUAAACUAUAGAAAUCACAUACGAAAAUAUAGAUUUUUUUAAAUAUAAGAGUAUAUAUAAAUACGUAUGUGCAUAUUUAUGAAAAAAAAACAGAUACAUGUAAGUAAGUAUAUACAUAAAAACUUUAAAAUGCAAAUAUAAAUACAUUCAUGUGUAUAAAUUAUAAAAUAAUAAAAAAAGGUGUAUAUAUGCAUGUAAAUUAAAUAUGUACACAUGAAUGUAUAUAUAGAAGCAAUUAUAUUAAUAUAAUAAUAGUAAUAAUAAUAUUAAUAAUGACAACGCUAAUAAUAAUAAUAACAUUAAAAUAAUUAACUAAAAUAAUAAAAGUGCUAAAAUAUGAACUAAAUCGAAAUAAAAAUGAAAACAUUGGGCGAAUUUAGAAUAAAAAGGAUUAGAUUGCAACACGCUCAAAAAGGGGAGGGCCAAAUAGGUAAUAAACCCGAUUUUAGGCCACGCGUCCCUCCCUCAGGUGUCCAAUCGAAUUGAGGACUAAAUUAAAAAAAGGGACAAAUCCGUGGUCCAAAUUAAAGGAGGAGAAAAAACAAAUGGUCCAAAUUGAAACAGAUCGAAAAUACGGAAGGGCUUGAAGCGCAAAUAACCCCUUGAAGGCUAAAACAUGCGGACCCUGUUUGGACGGGUCGGGUCGCCCGCGGGUUGCGCUAAACGGCGCCGUUUUGGCCGAUAGGCUCGCCCUAAAACGACGUCGUUUUAGGGGCCUAUAAAAGCCCACUUUUAGAAAAAAAAAUCAUUUGCCUUUUGUUUCAGAAAAAAAAGCUUUAAGUUCUCUCUCAACCUUCCCCUUAGCCGGCCAUGGCUCCGGUCAUCGGCCACCGCACCGGCCGCCGGAUGUCGGUGACGGCGCCGCCGUCCGCGGUGGCCGGAAAACCAAAAUACUCCCUUUUGUUCCUUUUUUCGAAUAGAGCCCAGAUCUGGGGUCAAAACUACCAGAAAAACCCGGCGACAAGGGAUAAAAUCGGAAGAGACCUUUCGGUUCUUCCUCCUCACAUCCGCCGAAAUCAGGUAAGACUCUCCCCUUUAUUUUAUUUUAUUAUCUUGUUAUAUUGAUUAAAUGAAAAUGAAAAGAGAAAGAAACAAUGUAGAAAAACUGAAAUAGAACGAAAAUAAGAAAAAAAGAAGUCGGAAAAAUCACUGUAAAUCACCUUCUAAAAACCUUUUUUUAUUUCUUCCAAUUUUUUUCAAAAAAAGCCCUUUACAUGUUUUUAGUUUCGGCUUUUAUAGCGGAUUGUUUUACAUUAUUUUAUUCCUAUUUUGUUGCUUUUCUCUGUUGUUGCGUGUCCUUGCAGGUACUUUGAUGGGAGUGGUUGGUGGUGGUUGCGGCGGUGGCAGGGAGUUGGUGGCUGAAAACCCUAGGUGCGGCGCACCUAAGGUUGCUGCUACUUGCUCUUUUUUCUUUUCUGAACAUGGGCUAGGGUUAGGUAGAUUGGGUUUGGGCUUGUUGGGCUAUUUUGAUUUGGGUUAAACUGUUAAUUGAUUUAGGUUAUGGUGUUUGGGUUUUUUUGGGCUGUUUGGGUUUAAUUUGUUUUAGGUUUGGGCCCGGGAAAAAUUUGGGUCUUACAAUGAGUAUGUGUUGUUGAGUUUUAGUAUAUAGUUUCGUAUUUAUCAUUUUUUAAAAUAUUAUAUAUAUAAUAUACUCGCAAAUAUUUCUUAAUUAUAAUAUGUAAAUAUAAAUUUUAAAAUUAUUAAUUAAGUUCAAUAAUUUAAUAAAUGGUUAUAUAUUAUUUUUAAAGCAAUUAUAUAAAAAAGUAGUUAAGAAAGAAAAGGGAAAUAUUAAAAAUUCCUUUAUAGGAAUUAAUACUCACCGGUACAAGCAUAUAUUAAUUGAAAUGAAUCAAAACUCAAUGAAAUUUUAAUUGAAGUGAAACUUAAACUAUUUUAUUCUAGUUCAAUAUCGAGACAAUUCGUAAUGAUUGAUACAACCAGUAUCGAAACUACCGACUAUCAUGCUACAAAGCGAAAAGAAAAAUAAUGGAAAUCAAUCAAAUUACAACUCAACUUACUUUCAUGCUUAAAAAAAGAAAACAGUUCUAAAAAAUAAUCAUCCAAGAAAAUAAAUAUAUAUAAGUUUUAUAGACCGUUGCAAAUUAAUAUACACUCAUAUAAGUCGAUAUUAACUAAAACAAAUCAAAACACAAUGAAAUUUUAACUGAAACGAAACUUAAAAUACUUUAUAUUAAUUCAAUAUUGAGAGGAUAGCCAAUUAUUAAGAAAAGAAAAAUUAUGAAAAUCAAUCAAAUUAUAGGUCAACUUACUUCCAUGCUUACAAAAAAAAUUGCUAAAAUUUAAAAUUGAAAAAAACCCAGAUUUCGAUUAUUAAAAAUCAUCUAUAAUAUAUAUAUAUUAUAUAUAUAAGUAUUAUACUAUAUUAUAUACCUAGUGCUGGACCAUUGAUAGACCUUGCCGGUGCUUGAAAAAGUAAUAACCCCAACCUCUGCAUCACAUAAAAUGGACAAUUCUUUAGCUUUCUUCAACAACCCAUUUCGCCUCUUUGAAAAUGUUACUUGCCUGCUAUUCAAAUUUUCAAUCUUUUUUAUUUCAAUUUUCCCUCUACCCAUCUGAAAAUUUUCUUCUUUCCUUUACUUUUUCCCGGAAAAUUUUUAAAAGAAAAGAUAAACCCCAGAUUUUUUUUUCUUAAAAUUUGAAAAGAACCGAAGGUUUUUAUAACAACAAACAGAUCAAAGAAAAUAAGGAAAAAAAUUUAGGGGAUUGUAAAAGGAUUCUUUUUUGAAGAGAAAAGAAAAUAAGUAAGUAAUGUUUAUAUAUAACAAUGGUUUUCUUAAAUGGAAAUGGAAAAUGAUAUGGAAAAAGAAAAUAUGUGACCAAAAUUAGGGUGAAAUCUUGAAAGGUGACAGAUUUGAUACUAUAUCUACCAAUUAUCCAACUAUGGAAACUCUAUUUAUUAUAGCUUUAGUUUUUUUUCUAUUUAUCUUACUUUCUCUACCUUUUUACUCUGCUGUUUUUGGUAUUUCAACUCAAAAUGGAUUUGAUUUUUGCUUUGGGUUUCUUUUUUUAAAUAUAAAAAGUGGUUUUUAAUUAUUUAUAUAUUAUUAAUGUGUUUUAACAAUUUUUGUUAGUGAAUAUUGAUUUUUUUUUCUGUGAAUUACAAUAGGAGGGCAAAACCCUAAUAACAAUACAACUAGAGCAAUUCGAAUUUAGGCCACACUUGAGACGUUGAACACAAGUAUUUUAGGAGGACAUAUAACACAUGUUUUUUUUUUUAAAAUUCAUGGCUAAAAUAAUAAAAAUAACCUCUUUAUUUUAUUGUAUUCAAAUAAUAAAAAAAAAAACCAUGAUUUUAGUCGUACCGGCCGGUGCCACCGCUCUACUGUUAUAGCACAACAAGCAACACCCUUUUCCUUUGUACAGUUCGCAUUGGCCGGAACAUGGUACACCUACUGCUGCAUGAAUAAUGUUAAAAAAUAUAAAACUUUUAACUAUCUAAAUAUUUAAUUGAAAUGUAUUGACCAAUAAAAAAAUAUUACACUAGAAAGUAAAGCUUAACAUUUAAAAUUUUUUUAGAGCAUACUUUUUCAUUUAAAAUAUAAAAAUUAAAAUAUAAUAAAAAAAACUCACUCACCUCGUUAUCAUAGAAAAAUAUUCACUCACAUCUGUUACCAUGUUGUUCAUGAGGACAAUUAGAUAUAUAUAUAUAUAUAAAGUUAUGAAAUUUAUAAAUGUUUAAAAUGCGGUUUCACACCUGUGGUUUGAGUGUCGAGAAAUCGAUACCAGAUUUUACUGCUUAAAUUUCAAUACCUCGGGAUGACUAAUUUAAAAUCAAUUUCAACAUAAGGUAUGUGGGAAAUCUUGGACCACUCUCGUCCUUUACCCCUACUGCACCCUUCUUCUAGCAACGGGCAACGCUGAAUAUCAAGACGCUCAAGCGAGAGAAGCACAUCUUUUUCUGGAAGAGAGGCGAGCUUAGGACAAUCAUAGAUGCCCAAUUGUUGAAGAGAGGUGAGGUAUUGUAAGCCCUUGGAGCACAUGAAUUCCAAAUUUUCAAAUCUACGGAUGCUGAUAUCGGUGAGAGAAGGAGGCAGCAUCAUUCCUAUAGCUUCUUCUGGAAAUGACACCACACGUGAGCAUCCUUCACCGCUGAUGUUGAGUUCUUGAAGAGAGGUGAGUCUGUUAAAUCCCCAUUCAACUAGUGAUGUAUAAAUUCUGGGUGCGUUUGAGAUUUCAAGUGAUGUGAGGUUGGUAGGGAAACCCUCUUCUGGAAAGGAUAUGUCAGCCGAACACUCCCACACUGAUAAUUCUCGAAGGCAGGUGAAGUUGUUGAUGCACUUGGGAAGGGCUCUAAAAUUUUCACAAUAAUUAAUUGAGAGAACUCUGAGAUUUGUGGUGGGCAACUCACUUCCUUCAAAUGAAACCAGAUUUGGACACCUAGAUAAUUGAAUCUCCUGAAGAUGGCUCCGCGGUAAUGAUUUAAUUUUUUCAGCACCACAAAUGUCAAUGCUUUCGGGAUCAAUGGUUUCAAGGAAGUCUUGGGCUAUGCAUUCCAACACUGGACAAUCCCAAAUAGAUAGCUUUUUAAGCAUUACGGGUAACUUGGCGUUUAAAAAUAAGCUACUUAGCUUUGAACAAUCCCUAAUUUCGAGAUGUUGAAGCCGAUUGCAUAUAUCGCCCCUUGAUGAUAACCAUAUUAGAGAUGGACAGCACCUUAUUUCCAAGUGCAGAAGAAGACAAGUGUUGCUACUCAUACUCUUAUUAUUAUUUUCUUUUUCAUCAACCAAAUAUUGCAAAUUCACGCAAUUCCCAAUCCUCAGCUCUUUUAAAGCAGGAGGAAAGUUACUCUCUGCAAAACAAACCAAGCCGGAACAGUUUUCAAGUUGUAUUCUUGUAAUCAAUGGGAAAGCAUGUAAGGCUUCUGGUAGUCUAUUGAGCCUUUCACAAUCCCCUAUGUUCAGAGAUUCAACACCUGGAAUCUUGUCAAGUUGCAAUCUCUCCUCUGUUUCCAAAGAGACCAAUCGGGGACAACCCACAAUCGUAAUAAAACGAUGCCCGACUAAUCUUAACCCAAUUUGCGAUAAAGAUCCCAACUCCUUACAACCAGAGAUGCAGAAUGUUUCGGAGUUUGCAAAUCUCAACAUUAUCCUCUCUGCUGAAAUAUUAAAAUUUGAAAUAUUUGAAAGAGACAUCUUUCAAGGAGGUAACCUUCUGUACAGACAAAGAACCUUCAUCCACCAAUUCUUCACACCCUUCAACCCUUAAUUCACACAGAAAGGGAAAACUUGAAAUUGAAACUACCAGUCUCUUACACUCAUAGAUUUCAAGUGUCUGCAAGGUUUGAAGGAUGGUUGGCAACCUUCCCAGCAAUAGAGGACAUUCUCUGAUUGAAAGAAAACGAAGGCUGGGGAAUUUCGAUACUUGCUCAUCAUCUUCACAUAGGUCCCACUCCUCCCAAUUCAGCAUAUUGUCAAAAUACAGAGACUCUAAUGAUGCAAAAGCAUUUGAUUGAUUUUCUCCAAACAACUCAGCACCAAUCUUGUGCACUUGAUCCAAACCACUAAUUGAAAGAUCUUUUAACAGCAACAACCUUCCAAUCGAUGGUAGGGAUUUGCAAUUUUUACAAUUGUGAAGCUUCAAUGACAACAUAUUUUUGAAGGAAGGAUCUGCAAUCCAAGUAGAGAAUUUUGCACCACCAUAAUUCUCAAUGACGAGUUGCUCAAGCUUUUUUGGAGGACACAGAGAGUCCAACACCCGUUCUUCAACUUCUUUAUUCCUUGAAGCAUUUUCAAACUUUUUCCUCCAAUGCAAUACCAGUCGAUCAAUUCCCUGCUUCUCAUAUAACUUGCUUUCCCCUGCAUCUUUACCAUUAACAUUCUCCAACCCAGAAAGACGGAAAUCACCUUCGAGGUUUGACAAAUAUUUCAAAUAUCUAAUAUGACAACCAUCACUUUCCGCUAUGAUAAAAUCAGAUAACCUUUGAAGAUUCUUUAGCUUAUCAAUUCUAAAAGGAAUCCUUUCUAUUGAGCUCGCACCUCUGAUAUCAAGAUAAUGUAAGUUGACAAGAUUUCCCAUCUUUGAAGGUAACCUUUGAAGCCUGUAACACCUUCUUAAUAAUAAGGUUUCUAAAUGGUAAAGAGUGCACAAAGAAUCUGGUAGGCAUUUGAUUAAUGUGCGCGAAAAAUUUAAGUAGCGAAGAUGUUUUAAAUUUUCAAAAACAUCAGGCAACUCAGUGAUUUUAUACCCACUCAAAGAAAGCAUCCUUAAGUAGCCAAGUCUUGGUAACAAAUCAACCAAAACAACAUUAGUUAAACAAGCCCCCUGAUGAUUAAUAGAAAACAUUAAGGGUAAAAAAGUACGUAAAGAAUUCACUUGAUCAAAUGCUUCAAACUUCUUCACUGUGUCAUAUCUUCCAGCAAUAUAAGAAGAAUGUCGAGUGCGAUUUGAGAACUUCCAUUUCUUAUCACCCUCUAAUUUUGAGCAUAUUUCCCCUGCAACUACUUGAGCUAAAUCAUUGAUAAGGUCAUGCAUUACCGAUCGGGACUUAUCUUUACUGGAUGUCUGAAAAAAUGACCUGGACACUAGAUCUUGAAAAUAUUGAUUUCCGAGAUCUUUAAUUUGAGGCACAGCUUUUUGUUGCAAGAGACCUUCUGCUCUCCAUAACAAGAUAAUUUCUUCUUCCUCAAAUUCAUAAUCUUUAGGAAGUAUGGAGCAAUAUGCAAAACAUCGUUUCAAGUAUGACGGAAGAUGAUGGUAGCUUAACCGCAAAGCUGGAAUUAUGCCACACUGCUCUUCUGGUAAGUUCCAUAUCUCACUCUCAUAUAUUCUUUCCCAUUUUCCAUGAUAUUUAACCGUGCGAAGCAAGCUUCCAAUGGCUUUUGCAGCCAAAGGUAAGCCACUGCACCUUCUAACAAUUUUCUCUCCAAUUUCUUUAAACUGGAGAUGUUCAUCGAAAUUUCUUGCUUUUAAUGCAUGCUGUGUAAAUAUGGAUAAACAAUCAUCAUCCGAUAGUUUAUCCAAAUGAAAAGCUUUGAGCGGAUCCACAAUAGAUGAAACAAUUUGAAGACGAGUGGUUACAAUGAUAUGGGUCCCUGUUCCAAACGGAGACCGUAAGAUGGUCCAAUCAUCAUAAUUCUCGUUCCAAAUGUCAUCUAAAACAAGCAAGAAUCUUUUCCCAGACAACUUCUCCUUCAACUUAACUUGAAGUAAAUUCAAGUCAUUCUCGUCACGAGAGUCAGGAUCGAUGGAUUUUAAAAUUGUCCUGGUUAUAUUAACUGCGUCAAAAUUAUCAGAGACGCAUACCCAGGCCUUGUGGUGGAAAGACUGGUUGAUGGUGGCAUCAUUAUAAACAAACUGAGCAAGAGUUGUUUUACCCAUCCCUCCCAUGCCGACGAUGGAAAGGACUGAAACUCCGUUGGAGUUAUCACCUUUGAGAAACUCAAUCAUUUCUGUCUUCUCCUUGUGUCUGCCAACAUACUCCACAACUCCAUCCAGUACGGAAGUUGGGUGCAGCCUAGGUUGCUUUCCCUUGGAGGUUGGAGCUUGAGACAAGAUCUCACUCAACCCCAAACUACUUCUUCGAGUAGUCAAACUAUUCAGUCUAGCAGUGAUCUCUUUCACCUUGGGAAUCAUGGAAUUCUUAAACAGGAAAGAAGUGGG